UGGGGAAUCUUGCACAAUGGACGAAAGUCUGAUGCAGCGACGCCGCGUGCGCGAUGACGCCCUUCGGGGUGUAAAGCGCUUUCGGCUGGAACGAUAAUGACGGUACCAGCAGAAGAAGCUGCGGCUAACUACGUGCCAGCAGCCGCGGUAAUACGUAGGCAGCAAGCGUUGUUCGGAGUUACUGGGCGUAAAGAGUCUGUAGGCGGUGCUCUAAGUUUGGUGUGAAAUCUCCCGGCUUAACCGGGAGGGUGCGCCGAAGACUGGGGUGCUGGAGUCUGGGAGAGGAAAGCGGAAUUCCUGGUGUAGCGGUGAAAUGCGUAGAUAUCAGGAGGAACACCGGUGGUGUAGACGGCUUUCUGGACCAGUACUGACGCUGAGAGACGAAAGCGUGGGGAGCAAACAG
This 403-nucleotide ribosomal RNA is filed under the name uncultured bacterium. RNAcentral describes it as "bacterial SSU rRNA". It matches the Rfam family "Bacterial small subunit ribosomal RNA", at positions 355 to 775 of the family's 1533-position model. The record is from RNAcentral.